AUUGAACGCUGGCGGCAGGCCUAACACAUGCAAGUCGAGCGAAGCCUUCGGGCUUAGCGGCGGACGGGUGAGUCACGCAUGGGAACGUGCCCUUUGCUACGGAAUAGCCCCGGGAAACUGGGAGUAAUACCGUAUGUGACCUUCGGGGGAAAGAUUUAUCGGCAAAGGAUCGGCCCGCGUUGGAUUAGGUAGUUGGUGGGGUAAUGGCCUACCAAGCCGACGAUCCAUAGCUGGUUUGAGAGGAUGAUCAGCCACACUGGGACUGAGACACGGCCCAGACUCCUACGGGAGGCAGCAGUGGGGAAUCUUAGACAAUGGGGGAAACCCUGAUCUAGCCAUGCCGCGUGAUCGAUGAAGGCCUUAGGGUUGUAAAGAUCUUUCAGUGGGGAAGAUAAUGACUGUACCCACAGAAGGAGCCCCGGCUAACUCCGUGCCAGCAGCCGCGGUAA
This 449-nucleotide ribosomal RNA is filed under the name uncultured bacterium. RNAcentral describes it as "partial 16S ribosomal RNA". It matches the Rfam family "Bacterial small subunit ribosomal RNA", at positions 30 to 523 of the family's 1533-position model. The record is from RNAcentral.